GACGAACCGUGCGAACGUUGUUCGGAUUCACUGGGCUUAAAGGGCGCGUAGGCGGAUGUCCAAGUCCGGGGUGAAAUCCUCCGGCUUAACCGGAGAACAGCCUUGGAUACUGGACGUCUCGAGGGAGGUAGGGGUCGAGGGAACUUCCGGUGGAGCGGUGAAAUGCGUAGAUAUCGGAAGGAACGCCGGUGGCGAAAGCGCUCGACUGGACCUCUUCUGACGCUGAGGCGCGAAAGCUAGGGGAGCGAACGGG
This 253-nucleotide ribosomal RNA is filed under the name uncultured bacterium. RNAcentral describes it as "partial 16S ribosomal RNA". It matches the Rfam family "Bacterial small subunit ribosomal RNA", at positions 524 to 776 of the family's 1533-position model. RNAcentral also lists the same sequence under 1 other name. The record is from RNAcentral.